GCCUGAUGCAGCGACGCCGCGUGAGGGAUGACGGCCUUCGGGUUGUAAACCUCUUUCAAUAGGGACGAAGCGCAAGUGACGGUACCUAUAGAAGAAGCACCGGCCAACUACGUGCCAGCAGCCGCGGUAAUACGUAGGGUGCGAGCGUUGUCCGGAAUUACUGGGCGUAAAGAGCUCGUAGGUGGUUUGUCGCGUUGUUCGUGAAAACUCACAGCUCAACUGUGGGCGUGCGGGCGAUACGGGCAGACUGGAGUACUGCAGGGGAGACUGGAAUUCCUGGUGUAGCGGUGGAAUGCGCAGAUAUCAGGAGGAACACCGGUGGCGAAGGCGGGUCUCUGGGCAGUAACUGACGCUGAGGAGCGAAAGCGUGGGGAGCGAACAGGAUUAGAUACCCUGGUAGUCCACGCCGUAAACGGUGGGUACUAGGUGUGGGUUUCCUUCCUUGGGAUCCGUGCCGUAGCUAACGCAUUAAGUACCCCGCCUGGGGAGUACGGCCGCAAGGCUAAAACUCAAAGAAAUUGACGGGGGCCCGCACAAGCGGCGGAGCAUGUGGAUUAAUUCGAUGCAACGCGAAGAACCUUACCUGGGUUUGACAUGCACAGGACGCCGGCAGAGAUGUCGGUUCCCUUGUGGCCUGU
Molecule: ribosomal RNA, 638 nt
Filed under: Mycobacterium sp. Se1Pw_3161
Lineage: Bacteria; Bacillati; Actinomycetota; Actinomycetes; Mycobacteriales; Mycobacteriaceae
Description: bacterial SSU rRNA
Rfam family: Bacterial small subunit ribosomal RNA
Source: RNAcentral